CAGCCGUCCAGGACCAGGCUUACCCCGGGAGGGCACUCGGGGGGCAAGGAGGAGCACUGGCACUUCGCGCUGCACUCUUGGCCGGCCGCUUCCUGGGGAGACAGAGGGAGGCAGAGACGGGGAGGUCAAAUAACGCUCCAGGAGGUGGGCCCGAACUUCUUAGAAGCACUGAUGAUGCUACAUAAUGAAACAUCUGCAAGAGAACAACCAGGUUCAGAGAGCACCAAGGACUCUUCACUUCUUACAAGAUUUAGCCAGGCCCAGAUGAAACCAUCUUGAUGGAUGAGUCUAUACAUGCUAUUCAUUCACUGGUCCUUCAAGAUAUGCUAAGCAAGAAGAAGCAAGAAUUAGAGAAGAGAUAUUAACAAAAGUUUAACAACUAAUUAAGGAGAUCAUGCACCAGCAUUAAAUAAAAUGUAUUCAAAUUUUUAGGGAUAAAGCAAUUUUCCUCUUAGAAAAGUGGAGUUAUCAAAAAACAAACAGAGAAAUGUCCUUGUUUUGGAGCCGCUGGCAGAAAAGUCCAUAUAUGGGGAUGGGACUAUUCUGAAUUUCCCACAAAGCUUCAUCAGAUAGGACUUCAGAUCAUAGUGCGCUGUUUUCAUAGAACUGCACAGGCUAUUCAUUGUUACAUAUUUUAACAAGAAUUCUGAUGGAAGAGUCUGCUAGAGUCAUUACGCAAAAUAACAUAAAAGAAACCUCAAAGAAUAGUUAAAAUUAUUAGACUGCUUGUUCAUUACAGAUCAGGUUAUUUUUCCAUGGUUGCUUCCCAGCAUGGGGUGUUUGGUCAUCAGCCCUUUUCAAGUUCUAAAAAUGGCACAAGAGGCCUCUUAACUAUCAGGCUGCCCUGUACGUUUGGCACCAAAUUCAGACGACUUGGAGAAGUUUAUCUUAAGUUGCCUGCUUUUGCUCUUCAACUUUAUAUACCUUUCCAUAAGAAAGCAGGCCUAUUUUUAGCUGUUGGCUGCUGAAAUGGAAUCCAGUGAUGGGAUUUUCAAAGUUCUUUCUCCUUCCCUUAAGUCAAAAGGCUGGGAUGCGCUUGAUUGAUGGGGAAUAUAUUAAAACUUUCCUCUCUCUUUUAUUCAAAAAGAUGACUUGAACACACCUGGAAAUGGUCUUCCCCUUUUGUGAAAUCCAGCUGGUACUUGGUUACUGGUUUUUAGGCCCUUGGUGUUUUUUGUCUUAAAUUAUUAUAUGGCCAAUUGGUGUAAUUUGGACUACUUAUUUCCUAUAGAAGAAAAAAAAUAUUUUCCUGAAGCAUUGCGGUAAUUAAAACCAGCACUUGAUUUAGAUAGAUUCUUGGGCUAAGGCAAAUGGAGGCACAUACUGUAGUCAAGGCAGUGUUGUGGCUCCGUUACCUGAGCCUGUGUCAUCGGCAGGAGAGGACUCCGAGAGUGAAGGAGAGGAGUUGGCAAGGCCUCUCUCUCCAGGACCCUCCUCUUUGGCAAUGCCUUCGGUGUUCGCCGAAGGGCAAGAGAUAGGGCCGGGGCCAAGCAUGUCCACACAGCCACAGGUGGACAGUGAUGAGAGUAAUGAGUCUUGGCUGGAUCCUCGACAGCGUCGCAGAGAUAAGCGCGCAUAACAGAAGAAAAUGCGUGCCAGAGAUUAGGCUGACUCACUGGACCACACCCCACAGGGUAUAAAAGGGAGCGUGGUGGCCAGUCAAGCCUUGUGACGAACAAAGCUGAAAGCUUCCAUGCCAUUCUGCAUUGCCGGACUUUUGCUAUAGACUUUGCUGGAUUAUAUUUGGACUUGAUUUACACUGUAAUUAUUGAACAUUUUACUUUGAUGUACCAGAAGCAGAGAGAUGUUAUCUCUUCGUGAGUAAUAAACUCUUGGCAGGCAGCCACUAGGUUGUUGCCAAGUUCCGUUAUCAUAAGGAAAAGGAUUUUGUCGGCUGGUUUGGUUUUUAACUCUUGGACGUCUGUUGGUGUGUGUGCG
Molecule: long non-coding RNA, 1938 nt
Organism: Pantherophis guttatus
Lineage: Eukaryota; Metazoa; Chordata; Lepidosauria; Squamata; Colubridae
Source: RefSeq, a predicted model, not a curated record